UGCAGAGGAAUGUUUUGAGGAGUGGCUAAGGAGGGAAGCUUUGUUUACAUCCUGAAAUAUGGUGCUAGUAUGACAUCUAGUGGCAGGAAAAGAAAUCAUAGCACCUUUAAAUGCUGCAGUGAAUGCAUGGUGCAUUUAAUGAAGUAGAGAUGCAAAUUGGUCAUCAGAGGACUAAAGAUCACUUGAGUGUAAGAAUGUAGUAAUGCAGAAAGUACAUUGGCUUUUGAUGUUUGUAACAGAUAUAUGGAUGUGGGAGUACGGUCCCUGCCAAAUUAUACACACUGUGACUUUGAAAUAUGCAGUAAAAGUCCUCUAUGUAUACACAGAGUGGAUAGUGUGGCUUCCAGUGUAUCAUUUCAAUCUGUUAUCCAUUAAAAAAAAACACCCACAUGAAGGCCAUCUGCUCUCCAUCAUGUAUUGAGGUCAGAGAUGACAUUCAUAUAUUGCCACCUUCCUAAAGUAAUGGCCUAAGUCAUAUUUUCCAAAACAUAACUUAGGCCAUUAUUUUAGGAAGGUGAAGAUACAAGCUUUGGA
Thalassophryne amazonica is the source of this 534-nucleotide long non-coding RNA. RefSeq lists it as uncharacterized. The transcript has 3 exons. NCBI's taxonomy places the organism in Eukaryota, Metazoa, Chordata, Actinopteri, Batrachoidiformes, Batrachoididae. The record is from RefSeq and is a predicted model, not a curated record.